This is a long non-coding RNA of Lycium barbarum (goji berry), 2245 nucleotides long. RefSeq lists it as uncharacterized. The transcript has 4 exons. Lineage: Eukaryota; Viridiplantae; Streptophyta; Magnoliopsida; Solanales; Solanaceae. The record is from RefSeq and is a predicted model, not a curated record.
UUCAGAUUGCUUUGGGAGUACUUCUCCAUCAGCUCCGCCAUUUCAAGAUUGAAUCUCUUCUUAGUGUUUGUGUCUGCUAUCUUCAUGAGAUCAUACAGAUUCUCCCUGUCUUCCACAAACGCUGUCAUUCUUUGUCCUGAAGUUUGAUAAAUUUUGCAACUUUCUCUGCCCUAACUCGAUAGCCCUCAAUAUCAUUUGCAAAAGAUUGUUUGAUCAUCUCUAGCUGUAGUCUUUUAAAUUGGUCCUUCUCAGCAGUGUAAAUGACUUUGAACUGAUCCUUGAAAAUUGUUCUUGAUACUCCAUCUCUUCCUUGUCUGCACAUAGUGCAUCAUUGUUCUCUUCCACUGGCUGACGGUGCUUUUCACUCACCAGACUAAGAUUCUUUUCAAGUGCUUUAGCUUUCUUUUGAUUCUUAGCACCUUGGUUCUUGAACCAUAUGAUCUGUUCAUUAUCCUCGCUGGAUUCCAAAAAGUUUCUUUAUACGACUUCAUCUCGAACUUCAACCUUGAUUUCCCAUAUGAAUGCUAGUUGAAAUUGUCCACAUCUCUUUUCUGCCAUGUAACCAUAAAUCAUACGUGGAUAAAAGCGAACUGGCAAAGUCGUCAUCACCUUGAAAUUCAUCCUCAUCACUGUCAUCAUCAGGCGAAUCCAAUUCAUUAUCCUCCCCAUCAGGUUCACAGGCCUUAACAUCGAAGCCCUGUCCUAAUUCAACAUUGUUACACACUCCCAGUUUCUGAACAAUAUCUAGAUGACCACCAAGUACUAUUCAGCUUGUUUCCCCAAGAUUCUGAAAUGGGAUUCUGAGGAAUCCAUUCCCAGAACCCGUGUUACUUGGACUUGCUAGCACACACAACCCAUCCAUUCAUUUUGAUCAGAGUUGAAGCCCAAAUCUCCAACACCUAUAUUUAUGUCAUCAACAGUAUUUGUUUCAGUGAUAGCUUUCUUCUUCUUGGUUGAUUUAUUAAAUGCUUUCCAACCCCUUUAUUGUUGUAACUCAUAUUUCCAACCCCUUUCCGUUCAGUUUGAGUGUGUGCAGGCGCAACAAAAAAUAGUUUGAAUUACUUGCACUAAUAAUCGGACCAGCAUCUGCGCUGUUAGUAUUGUCCUUUGCAAUACCUGCGACAAUAGCUUUCUCUUUCCCAACCUACAGCUCAGGAAUAUAUUAUAUGAGCAAGAAUAAUAUUGAUGAACACCAUAUAGACACAUUUGUUCAAGUGACUAUGAAGGUGACAGAGACAAGAACAAACUAUGAAAGGGAAGUCCAAUACCCAAAAUUAGAAGGGCUUUAAGAAGUAGAUGCAGCAAAAUGAUCUUAGCAAUAAUUGGGUGGGCUACAAAGGAACCCAACAUCACCUAAUGUUGGAUGUUGUUAUUGUACUAACUGUCCUUUACUUUUUUUUUUUGAGAGAUAUGUUGCAGUGAUGUGAUAAUGUGAUAUCGAGGUAUGGAGUAACUGUUUUGAUUUUGUGGUCAGUUUCAGUUAUCAAUUCUACUCAUGAAGCAUUUUUACAAGUGUGGUGAGGUAAAUAUUUCGAAGAGUUCAGCUCUAGGUUCCCCGACGUUCCUGUAUUUGGUGUCGAAUCCUUUGAGAAGGCCGUAAAAACUGUGGAAAACGUUGUGUUCGACGCUUUGCCAGCUUCACCAGAACAUUUUGAUGCGGAUUCUUGCUGAAAGUCCAGUUUACCCCAUGCUAUCGACAGUGCUCUCUCUAAAGAUUGUUGAACUCUAAGGUGUGGACUUAAUGAACUUUGACAAGAUAUCUGCCGCUGUCAGCUUGAUUGCAAGUGCUUGGAAUUUGCAAGACCUUCAUAUCGGCUUAGAAGCAUUAUAAGGUGCUUAGAAGAUGUGAAGACUUCUCAGGAGAAGCUUUGUCAAAGUUACAUAUGUCAAAAAUGUUCAUAGUUGUGAAGCUGAUCAAUGGUGGCAAGGUAAUUCUCAUAUCUGGCAAGCACUGGUGAGUUCAAAAAAUGAGGUGAAAAGACAUAUGUAGUAUUGGCAAGUGAAGGAUGGAUCAUCAAGCUUUUGGUGGGACAAUUCGGGUAAUUUUGGGCCACUUGGUUUUAUUGUGUUAUUGUUGUAGAAGGGAGGCUAGUAGCUGCUGUGUGGAGGUUCUUUUGAUUAAUUUGCAUGAGUUGGUGGACAUGCUCAGUGCUGCUUUCCAUUAAGUUACACCAGUUAUGGAACUUCUGUUCAAUUUCUUUCCUGUCGGUUAAAAUUUGCAAGCAAAGUUGAUAGAUGUAUUAAA